Long non-coding RNA from Fukomys damarensis (Damara mole-rat), 1372 nucleotides. RefSeq lists it as uncharacterized. The record is from RefSeq and is a predicted model, not a curated record. Lineage: Eukaryota; Metazoa; Chordata; Mammalia; Rodentia; Bathyergidae. The transcript is spliced from 6 exons.
AGCAGGGCAGAGUCCAGCUCCAGUGUGAGUUCACUGUGAAGAAAAAUCUUCCCAGAGAGCUGUUUGUUGUAUAAGGUUUCAGUCCAUGGUUGGUAGAAGAGAGCAGUGGAGGAAUGCUUCUCACUUUGGGGUAGCCAGGAAACAGAGAGAUGGAACAAACCAGAGAGAGAAGAAAGGCCUGUGAUGGCCUGCAUCCUUUGAAAGCAUGACCCCAGUGACUUGCUUCCUCUGACCAGGCCCCAUCUUCUAGUAGCCCAUUCAGACUGGUGUUGACUGCAGGUAGCUGAAACUGCAGAAAAUGAAACCAUGGAUAAGGAGAGCUGCUGUGUUGGAGGCAUCUGGAGAUUGCCAUGGGAAGCAACUCCCUGCAAGAAAGGCUGAUAUUCAGAUACAACCGGAUAUGUCUCUAGACAUUGCCAGUGACCAGAGGUUGAGAUGGGAAGAGUCACUGGCCAAGACUGCUGAAUUUAAGACUAAAGAAUAAACCAGAGGGACUCACAUCCUAGUUCUACCACCUACUAGCUCUUUGAUCUUAGGCUCAUGUGCAGGGAAAUUGCUCCCAGGGUGGCAAUAUUGGAAGAUGGUGUGGCUCUUUAUGAGGUGGGGCUCAGUGAGAGGUCCUCAGGUUAUUGUAGGCGUGGCCUCAGAGGAAUUGUGGGUCCUCAGUCUGUCUCUGCUGAGAUGCAUCUCAGCUCACUCUGACCUUGGCUUCAGCCAGGGCCAUCCUCCAUCUGCCUCACCAGAACUGAUGCAGGCGCCAGACCCAUUCACCUCCCAAAUGUGUUGCUGUGGCAACCAGCACUGCACAGAUGUAGCCUGAACACACCUCCUUCAGCGGCACCAGUGUCUCUUCUGUGCCCCAGGCUCCUCCACCAGUGCAAUGUCGGAUGACUGGGAGAGCCUGCUUGGCAGUGCAGACGUGUAUGAACUGGAGAUGCUGAGGAGUUCACGAGCAGCCUGGGGCAGCUGUGGACCUGUGCAGGUUGGGAGCAUUGGUUAGAUCACUCCCCUUGGGAGUGGAGGUGAAUUCUAGAUGGCUCCUUAGAGUGAGACCAAGCCCCUUUUAUCCUAAGCGCACAAUCAACUUGCAGGCCUCUCUGGGUUGGCCCUCCCUCUCCAGUUUUGUUCAGUGGGAUCACUUCCCAAAAUAAACUAACACAUGUGCCAUAUAACAAUGUUUUGUUCAGUGAUGGCUGCAUAGAUAAUGGUGGCCUCAUGAGAUCAUGAGGCUGAAAAUUCCUGUUGUCUAGUGACGUCAUAGUGCAUGCAUUUGUCAUGAGUUCAUGGUGAGGUUGAUUUCAACACAACUUCUGCACUCCCAGUCCCCUAAAAGUAUAGCACAUGCAGUUAUGUGCAGUACACAGUACUUGAU